UGAGGAAUAUUGGUCAAUGGACGAGAGUCUGAACCAGCCAAGUAGCGUGAAGGAUGAAGGUCCUACGGAUUGUAAACUUCUUUUAUAAGGGAAUAAACCCUCCCACGUGUGGGAGCUUGUAUGUACCUUAUGAAUAAGCAUCGGCUAACUCCGUGCCAGCAGCCGCGGUAAUACGGAGGAUGCGAGCGUUAUCCGGAUUUAUUGGGUUUAAAGGGAGCGCAGACGGGUCGUUAAGUCAGCUGUGAAAGUUUGGGGCUCAACCUUAAAAUUGCAGUUGAUACUGGCGUCCUUGAGUGCGGUUGAGGUGUGCGGAAUUCGUGGUGUAGCGGUGAAAUGCUUAAAUAUCACGAAGAACUCCGAUUGCGAAGGCAGCACACUAGUCCGUAACUGACGUUCAUGCUCGAAGGUGUGGGUAUCAAACAGG
RNAcentral lists this ribosomal RNA (424 nucleotides) under Acidobacteriota bacterium. RNAcentral describes it as "Acidobacteria bacterium partial 16S ribosomal RNA". It matches the Rfam family "Bacterial small subunit ribosomal RNA", at positions 355 to 776 of the family's 1533-position model. The record is from RNAcentral. Lineage: Bacteria; Pseudomonadati; Acidobacteriota.